GGGAGAAAACGCGGAAGGCGGCUCUGGACGCGGGCGGUGCUCACCCCCGGUUAUCCUCCACCGUCCCCGCAAGCCGUUUCCAGGCAGUAAUCCCGGGCGGGCGAGGUCCCCUGCGUGCCGGCGCGGCCCCGAGUGUGCCCUGACGCCCAGUGUGCUACUUCACUUACUCCGAACAGUCCUAUUGUUCCUCCCAGCAGAGCCAUUGAAACGUUUGCAAAAUAGCAGAGGGUUCCAGAUGGGAGGAGCCAUUGUUCAAAGUCCAGACCACCCAGCGGGCAUGUCAGACCCGUAAGACGUUAUCCCCAACGGAAGAAACAAUGGCAGAGAAAGGAAAUCAUGUGUUUGCUGGGAGUGAAUUUUCCAGAAGGCACCUUGGCCUCAUGACACGGAAGGUCUGAUUCCAAUUCUGCCAGUGAAGAACUGAGAGACCCUGGACAAGUUGUCUCGCCUUUCUGAUCAAUUGCUAUACCUAAAAUAGAUAACCAAGGACAGAAAUUACAUUCCUCCGUAGAACCUUGUAAUGGUUUUAAGUAACUGAAGGACCAAGAAGAUAUUUACUCUUCGGCUAAAAUAUGGAGUCAUGCUCUGCCGCCCAGGCUGGAGUGCAAUGGCGCAAUCUUGGCUCACUACAACUUCUGCCUCCUGGGUUCAAGCGGUUCUCCUGUCUCAGCUGAAUAACUUUUAUUAUUAGGGCAUGAGCAUGUAACCCAACCCCAGUGGAGGAGUUUAAAGAUCGCUGAGAGACUUCGUGUACAAACACAAGCAUUUGCUGAACAUGUUCCUGAAUUAAAUGUGAGGGACGGUUUGGGAAUUAGAAAUCUUCUGGGACAAUUUAUGAGUUUAAACAGCUAUCUGAAUCUGAAGUUUCUCCAGAGCAAUUCAAGUUGUUUCUCUCCUAGAGAAGGAACAAAAACGUAUAUGGGAUCUCAUUCUGUCGCCCAGGCUGGAGUGCAGUGGUGCAUUCACAGUUCACUGCAGCCUCAAACUCCUGGGCUCACGCGAUCCUCUUGCCUUAGCCUCCUAAGUCUCUGGGAUUACAGGCACGAGCCACUGCACCCAGCCUAUCUCAACUAUUUUGAGAGUGAAAACUUUGGUUUGAGGGUGAUUUGGUGGCCUAAUGCAUUUGAGACAGGGAAGACCUCGUGGGUUGAGCACAGUGGCAGCUUCUGGAAAAUCAGAAGGCCCAUGAAGGACUGGAUAUGAGUGGAAAAAAAUCAGAAUACUCAACUUCCGGUCCGUUUGACAAUUAUGAUCAUUUACUGUCUUUGUAUUUCUCAUCUAUAAAAUAGGGAGAGACAGGGGAAGAGACGCUGCUGGACUGGAGUGAUGGGCUCACAGGCUCAAAGCAUUAUGCCUGUGCGAGGAGCCUUCGAGAUCACCCAGUCCAACAUGCUCAUUUCACAAGUGAGCAACUUGCUACUUAUAUGAAAUAACCUGUUCAAGGACACACUGCUUGUUAUUGAAAGAACCAGCAAGUUACUAAAUUUUCAGGACUGUGUUCAUCUCUAAGGUACCAUUUCGUUCUAUAUCUAGUAUUGUACAAUUAUAUUUUUACAUAUAUGUACUAUAAUAUCUAGUAUUUUAAAAUUUUAUUUAUAUAUGUGUCCUACAAUAUAUAGUAGUAUAAAAUUAGAUUUUACACAUAUGUAAAAUCAUGUAGAUUUUACAUAUGUGUAAAAUCAUGCAGAAUCAUGACCUUGAGACCAUAAGUAUAUUCUAAAUUAUGCCCACUACUAUUUUAACAGUGUUUAUUUUAUUGUAGUCUAAUUAUUUGAAAAUGAUAUUGGAGGUACAAUGUGUGUGUCCCAGGCCCAUUAGCCCAUUAUUAUGCCUUGAGGUUACCUCAUUUGUGUUAUCCACAUAAUUAUGUAUCAGUGCUUACUGGCCAGACAGUAGCCUUGCUUGAGGUGUCCCCAAUUAUUUCUGAGGAUUUAUCUGGUUCUUCCUCUCUGACUUUUCGCCUUACUGCUACAAUGCUGUGUCUGCUGCUACUGAUUAGCAUGGGUCAUGAGAUGGUUGCCCUGUUAGGCACACCUAUUUCCAUGACUGGUGCUCCCUGGAAAGGGGACACCCCUUGGAGAGGAGACUUUGCUUUCCUAGAGUCUAAGGACUGUAUUUAUUCUUUGGGGAGAGUGGAGGUCUUCAUUACUGCUGUUCUAGACAUUGGCCACAACAGAAAACACUUGUCUUUGUGUGUCUUUUUGCUUCCAUUGUUCCUGCCGACACCACAGACCCUCACCAUGCCUUGGAACCAGAGCUCCAAGCUCUGCCUGCCCCAGAGAGAGAUGGAGAUGACAAUUUCAACCACACAGGGCUUUCACAGGGAUUAGAGAUGAUGUAUACAAAUGCCUGGCAGGAAUUCAGUAAAUGAAAACUCUUAUUAUUUUAGAUUUCUUUACCACUGAGGUAAAAGCACUGCUAGGUAGCUGGGUUGAUGCAUUUGGAUGUCAUUUUCUUCAAUUUUCAGUAUUUGCUUUUUGCUUCAGGUGUGCUUCGAGUGUGGUGAAUUAGCCAAAAGGCGAUCAUGAGGGAAGGAAGGAGUUUACUCAUUCACUCAUUAAUUCAUUUGUUCAUUCAGCAAACAUGUAUGAUAGAACAUGCUGCUAGAAGAAAACACCUGAGACCUGAUAAUUUAUAAACAACAGAAACUUAUUUCUUUUUUUUUUUUUGUGACAGAGGCUCUGUCGCCCAGGCUGGAAUGCAGUGGUGCGAUCUUGGCUCACUGCAAGCUCCGCCUCCCGGGUUCACACCAUUCUCCUGCCUCAGCUUCCCGAGUACCUGUGACUACAGGCAUGCACCACCACGCCCGGCUAAUUUUUGUAUUUUUGUAGAGAAGGGGUUUCACCAUGUGGGCCAUGGUUGGCCAGACUGGUCUCAAACUCCUGACCUCAGGUGAUCCUCCCACCUUAGCUUCUCAAAGUGCUGGGAUUACAGGCGUGAGCCACUGCGCCCCACCUAGCUAAUGUAUUCCUUCUAAACUCAUAGCUGGUGUGUGUGCGUGCGCGCGCGCGCGCGCGUUUCCCUUCAAAUGAGUGGUUAGACUAAGAUCAGGUGUUACAAACUGAGGACCUGAUAUUCUGAAGUGACUGAAAUGCUUAAGUCUAUUAACAAAAUGUGAAUUAACAUUUAAAAAUAAAGCGAAAA
RNAcentral lists this long non-coding RNA (3144 nucleotides) under Macaca mulatta (Rhesus monkey). RNAcentral's name for it is "lncRNA (ENSMMUG00000054657.1)". Lineage: Eukaryota; Metazoa; Chordata; Mammalia; Primates; Cercopithecidae. The record is from RNAcentral.